This is a long non-coding RNA of Tarenaya hassleriana, 813 nucleotides long. RefSeq lists it as uncharacterized. The transcript is spliced from 2 exons. The record is from RefSeq and is a predicted model, not a curated record. Lineage: Eukaryota; Viridiplantae; Streptophyta; Magnoliopsida; Brassicales; Cleomaceae.
GUAUAUAUACAUCCUCUCACGUCGAUGUCAAUGUAUGUCAUGGAUAGAUACUCUUCACAUCCGUGAUCUUGCAUGGGUUUUUCAUCAUCGGCACUAAAAUAUCUCUGACACGAAUAGUAUACGAUUUCAUUCAUGAUGUUGACGGUCGUCCUAUCUCGUCGAAGAUGCAUAAAGUUUCUACCGAAUACCAGGAAACCCUAGUUUCUUCUUUUAGCUUUUGAACCGUUUUAAUGAGUUGAUGAUUUAAGUGUAAGAACGAGAUAUAAAUGUGUGAAAGAGGACAGAGAGUAUAUGCAUAUCAGGAUGUCUAUGAGGCAUAGAGGGUUGUGAUGACUAGUCGGCACACGUGUGAAUUGGUGGGCACAGGAGGAGGUGGAAGAAGAAGAAGAAGAAGAAGAAGAAGAAGAAGAAGAAGAAGAAGAAGAAGAAGAAGAAGAAGAAGAAGAAGUGUAUAGGCGUAAUUUUAGGUCUUUUUCCAUGUAGAAGUUGGAGAUGCACGGUUCUCAUAAAACUUUGGUAAAAAUAUUUCGGUUCUCACGUGAAGUUCUAAACAUAUACUUGGAUGUGUUCGAAAGGCACGAGUCUACAUUUGUGUAUGUGUGUAUGUGUAUAUGUAAACGUAUUAUUUUGUUGUAUACAGUAUGCAUUACAUACGCACAUAUACACACUAGCGUAGAGAGAGAGAGAGAGGAUAAGGAGGUGAUGUAUACAGAGGUGGAAGGAGAUGGAGAAUAGUAUUCAUAAAGAUCCCCGUGAGGAGUGUUUGGAGGCAUUCCAAAAUCACAACCAACAUUCUUCUUUUUGCUUUUAUCA